RNAcentral lists this long non-coding RNA (647 nucleotides) under Physcomitrium patens. RNAcentral describes it as "long non-coding RNA (PPAT_LNC011945)". The record is from RNAcentral. Lineage: Eukaryota; Viridiplantae; Streptophyta; Bryopsida; Funariales; Funariaceae.
UGAUGUUUGUUAGUAGAUGUAGCGUUUGUAUAAAAUGUGGAGUUACUUACCAGGUGUGAUGUUUGUCAUGAUGUAUUGACGAGAGGUUUGUUUCAGAGGGAGUUGUAAGGCGGGAUGGUUGGGGAGUAUGAGAUUGGAGAGAGCUUGAAUGCUUGGAGGGUGAGAUAUAAGAUCGGCUCUGCUAUAGCAAGAAUUUGACAGACGGGUUGGUAAGGCGCGGAUUACAGGUUUCCGAGCUCCGACUUUGGCAUUCUGAAUUGUGAUCUUUGCGUGCUUAUUUUUUAAAGAUAUUAGGGUUUGGAGUCUGUGAUUACAUUCAAACUUUUAGUCCGUUCUUGUUGUGCAAUUGGCUUAUAGCUAGGGCGUUAUCUUCUUGGGCCUAUUGCAGAAUCGACCUCUUGAAUCUCUUUUUGUACAAGCCAGAGACCUCCUACUUUGGAAUUAAUUGUAACUCAUUACUCUUACGUGAAAGGGAAGCUUGCUCUUGAGGUUCCUGUGAAGGUAAGCCUUUUUCAAGUUGUGCGUUAUUUUGGCAACUUCGGGCCUCUCCAUGUUUGUGUAUAAUGGGUUUCAAAAGUAAUCUGUUACUUUGUGUUUUGAUUUCAAUCUAAAAAAGCUUCCUUUGGCAUUUCUCUUGAUUUUAUUCA